AGCAGCCGCGGUAAUUCCAGCUCCAAUAGCGUAUAUUAAAGUUGUUGCAGUUAAAAAGCUCGUAGUUGAAUUUCGGGAUUAGUACGUUGGUCGUGCCUUAGGUACGUACUGGUGUUACUGGUUCCUACCUUCUGACGAACCAUCAUGUCAUUAAUUUGGUGUGGCGGGGAAUCAGGACUGUUACUUUGAAAAAAUUAGAGUGUUUAAAGCAGGCUCGCGCUUGAAUACAUUAGCAUGGAAUAAUGAAAUAGGACGUUGACCCUAUUUUGCUGGUUUCUAGGAUUGACGUAAUGAUUAAUAGGGAUAGUUGGGGGCAUUAGUAUUCAAUUGUCAGAGGUGAAAUUCUUGGAUUUAUUGAAGACUAACUACUGCGAAAGCAUUUGCCAAGGAUGUUUUCAUUAAUCAAGAACGAAAGUUAGGGGAUCGAAGACGAUCAGAUACCGUCGUAGUCUUAACCAUAAACUAUGCCGACUAGGGAUCGGAUGAUGUUAAUUUUUUAAUGACUCA
Molecule: ribosomal RNA, 507 nt
Filed under: uncultured Glomeromycotina
Lineage: Eukaryota; Fungi; Glomeromycota
Description: SSU rRNA
Rfam family: Eukaryotic small subunit ribosomal RNA
Source: RNAcentral